CUUACUAGUCAUAAGGGUCUAUAAUUAUUUACAUUGUUGUGGAACUUGUAGCCGACGAGGCUACUCUAUGUAAUAAACUAUUUAUAUAUAUAAUCCUGGUCAUUCCGGCACCAAAAAUGUACCUUUCCCCAUCUACUACUAAACUAAUUAACUAAAAUUCAACCAGGAUUAAAUAAAAAUAGGAAAAUAAAUAAAUUUGGCCAUGUGAUCGUCUAGUGUAUUUACGUUGUGAACCUUAGUACCCUUCGUCUUUUAUGUGAAAACUGAUACGAUUUGGAUUUUUCAAAACUAUCCCUAAAUAUCCUAUGAAUUUGUAAAUAUUCCUACUGUAUAUUUUUAUUAACACUAUUGUUAGACAAAUAAAAAAAUAGUAAAUAAUAUAUAUUUUUUAGAAUUUAUCUCCUACCGGGCCCUACCGUGACCAGUUACCGUGAACAGUAACGAGAAGAAACGCCAAGAAACUCAUCUGAAUGUACUAUUAAUGUAUGGAAUACUGAAAACAAUCGUCUAUUAAAUAUGACUUUAUUUACCCUUUAAUUCCCCAGUUAUAGAAAAGCUCAAUUGUCACUAGUGAACUGCUCCGCCUGUCACUAGCUCCCUA
Molecule: long non-coding RNA, 601 nt
Organism: Cydia pomonella (codling moth)
Lineage: Eukaryota; Metazoa; Arthropoda; Insecta; Lepidoptera; Tortricidae
Exons: 2
Source: RefSeq, a predicted model, not a curated record